This 465-nucleotide ribosomal RNA is filed under the name Vreelandella stevensii. RNAcentral describes it as "partial 16S ribosomal RNA". It matches the Rfam family "Bacterial small subunit ribosomal RNA", at positions 338 to 795 of the family's 1533-position model. Lineage: Bacteria; Pseudomonadati; Pseudomonadota; Gammaproteobacteria; Oceanospirillales; Halomonadaceae. The record is from RNAcentral.
CCUACGGGAUGCAGCAGUGGGGAAUAUUGGACAAUGGGCGAAAGCCUGAUCCAGCCAUGCCGCGUGUGUGAAGAAGGCCUUCGGGUUGUAAAGCACUUUCAGUGGGGAAGAAAGCCUUGGGGCUAAUACCCUCGAGGAAGGACAUCACCCACAGAAGAAGCACCGGCUAACUCCGUGCCAGCAGCCGCGGUAAUACGGAGGGUGCGAGCGUUAAUCGGAAUUACUGGGCGUAAAGCGCGCGUAGGCGGUCUGAUAAGCCGGUUGUGAAAGCCCCGGGCUCAACCUGGGAACGGCAUCCGGAACUGUCAGGCUAGAGUGCAGGAGAGGAAGGUAGAAUUCCCGGUGUAGCGGUGAAAUGCGUAGAGAUCGGGAGGAAUACCAGUGGCGAAGGCGGCCUUCUGGACUGACACUGACGCUGAGGUGCGAAAGCGUGGGUAGCAAACAGGAUUAGAUACCCCGGUAGUC